UUCAUUGUGAUAGUCAACAAUUGGUGGGAAAAAAAAGUAUGAAAGAAUGAUGGAAUUGGAAAGGAAAAAGAACAUUGUUGUGCGGGUAAUUUGACGAACAUUUAUUCGAUGUUUGCCUGAAAAGGGAGACAGAAGGAGAAAAGAGUAGUGUUUAUUUGAUUUGG
Molecule: non-coding RNA, 164 nt
Organism: Caenorhabditis elegans
Lineage: Eukaryota; Metazoa; Nematoda; Chromadorea; Rhabditida; Rhabditidae
Source: Ensembl